Long non-coding RNA from Anastrepha ludens (Mexican fruit fly), 1058 nucleotides. RefSeq lists it as uncharacterized. The transcript is spliced from 3 exons. NCBI's taxonomy places the organism in Eukaryota, Metazoa, Arthropoda, Insecta, Diptera, Tephritidae. The record is from RefSeq and is a predicted model, not a curated record.
AGUUAAUUCAUGGAAAAAGAUUUUUAGUAUAUAAUACAUAUGUUUGUAUAUUCUUAUGUAUGCAGGGAUAUAAGAAAGAAUCAAAAGGAAUACGGAGAAAAGGUACGAAGAAACUCAUUUCCUACAACUGAACUGCAGACUCAGUAUUGCAUAUCUAAUGGCAAAACAUAAAUGGAAAUUACACCUUUGAAGUGAAUGCAAACUUGAAAGUUAUGGGCAUUCUCACCACGAAUGGGUGUACCUGUUUAGAAACUUUUCAUUAAAAAUUACGCACAAGCUGUGGAUGCACUAUUUGCUCAUUUUAGUUUCUAAACUUUUUGCAACAUGCAUAUACAUAAAUUAUUUUAGAUGGUGGAGCAUGCGCCUUACCGCCUUAAAAUCCAUAAAAAAAUUGGAUAAGGAAAAAGAAAUGGACAAAGUAUGUAAGAAUGUUUGUAAAAGCCGAACACGUUGAAAAAAAGAGGCCAAGUAGGGUGAUUUUGGUUGGUGGCACCAAGCGGCACGGAUGAAACAUGCGUGGGAUCAUCAAAAUGAGUACUACUAUGCCGAUUAUUGCCAAAGCGGAAGGAAAAUAGGCGGAAUGCAUUAACAGCCGCAUGAACAAUGUACAACAAGCCGGAAAGUAAUUAGGGUAGCAAAGUUUAUUGAAUUUCAAGUUGAGUCAUGAAAUGUUAAGCAGUGAACACAUUUGCAAUUACAACAAUAACAUCUUCAGGGAAUACUCGCAUGUGUAGUAGAAAUAUUUUAUAAUCUAAUAUCUAAUUGAAAUACACAUACUGGUGAUUGUUGUUGUUGUAGCAGCUGGCUAAACAAGCACAAAAUGGUCAGACUGCUUGGCUCUAACAUCACUGCCAACAUCGAUGCCUCCGGCCUCCUUCGCUUUUCUGACCCAUUCAAGACUUUAGUAUAUUUCGUUUCAUAUUUUAUUUUAGCUGCAUGGUGAUAUUUUAUUUAUAGACAACACUCAAAUAUAUCUAAAGAAUACAUAGCGUCAAAACAAAUGAGAAAAAGUCGCUGAACUAAUAAAAAUGAAAAUACUACACCCGGCCAUCGGCAGC